This 668-nucleotide long non-coding RNA is filed under the name Malus domestica (apple). RNAcentral's name for it is "long non-coding RNA (MDOM_LNC010638)". Lineage: Eukaryota; Viridiplantae; Streptophyta; Magnoliopsida; Rosales; Rosaceae. The record is from RNAcentral.
GAAUAUAAGUUCAUAACGAUUAGGUGAAACUCCCUUACAUUCUAGCGUUAAAUUCAUGCAUGAAAAUUAAGCGUGCACUCUCAACCAACAUACACAAAUCAUUUUUUAUACGAUCGGAUAAGUAAAUUGAAUUCACAACUUAUGAAUCACAACUGGAUGUAAUCAAAUCAUAUUGCAAGUACGAACAUGGUUUCGAAUCACCCCCUAACUAAGAGGGGUUUAGUUCCUCAUACUCACAAGCAAAGAUACAUAAAAUUAGACAUUAAAAUCAAAGGAAAGAAAACACCUAAAAUGCUCCAACUUGGGUAGCAAGUGCAUCCAAGAAUUCUCCUUUGCUUGCUUGUGGCAGAUUGCUUUGUGGACGGAUUUUUGGGUAGUUUUAUGAUGUAGAAUGGAUGGGGAAUGGUAUGGAAAGGUUUAGGGUAAGUGUGGAGGAGUGUUUGAGGGUUAGAGGGUGGUGGAGAACUAGGCAAAGAGGGUGGAAGAAGGUGAAGUGGCUGUUAUGUUUUCUAGGCACUAGAAUGGUGUUUUUGGGGUGUUUUGCUACCUAGAGGUUGUAUGGACGAAUUUUCUGUGAUGAAUGAUGAAUAUGAGGGAUUGUCCUUUGGCCAAGGGGUGUAAACAUGUAUUUAUAGGCCCCAAAAACCUUAGAAAAUCAGGUUAGGUUA